This 435-nucleotide ribosomal RNA is filed under the name uncultured bacterium. RNAcentral describes it as "partial 16S ribosomal RNA". It matches the Rfam family "Bacterial small subunit ribosomal RNA", at positions 28 to 507 of the family's 1533-position model. The record is from RNAcentral.
GAUGAACGCUGGCGGUAUGCUUAACACAUGCAAGUCGAACGGACUCUUCGGAGUUAGUGGCGGACGGGUGAGUAACGCGUGAGAAUCUGGCUUUGGGUUCGGGACAACCACUGGAAACGGUGGCUAAUACCGGAUGUGCCGAGAGGUAAAAGAGAAAUUGCCUGAAGAUGAGCUCGCGUCUGAUUAGCUAGUUGGUGAGGUAAAGGCUCACCAAGGCAGCGAUCAGUAGCUGGUCUGAGGGGAUGACCAACCACACUGGGACUGAGACACGGCCCAGACUCCUACGGGAGGCAGCAGUGGGGAAUUUUCCGCAAUGGGCGAAAGCCUGACGGAGCAAUACCGCGUGAGGGAAGAAGGCUCUUGGGUUGUAAACCUCUUUUCUUAGGGAAGAACAAAAUGACGGUACCUAAGGAAUCAGCAUCGGCUAACUCCGUG